RNAcentral lists this long non-coding RNA (304 nucleotides) under Gossypium barbadense (sea-island cotton). RNAcentral's name for it is "long non-coding RNA (GBAR_LNC004323)". Lineage: Eukaryota; Viridiplantae; Streptophyta; Magnoliopsida; Malvales; Malvaceae. The record is from RNAcentral.
CAGUGUAGUAGUUGGUGGGUUGAGUAGUCUCCCCAGAUGGGUUUGCAUGCAUUACUACUAUUGUUACCCAUGUUACUGAACUGGGCCUAUGGGCCACACUGUUAUGUAAAAAGUGGCUAAGGACUUGCUACUGUAUUCUGAAAAGGGCUUCGGUCCACUGUGUACUGUUAUCUGAAUAGGGCUUAGGCCCAAUGGGCUCGAUUUGAUUUGGGCUUUGGAUUGGUUUCUUUAUGCAUUGAGUUUCCCAAACUCACCCCUUUCUAUUCCAUCCUUGCAGGUGAGCCCUAGUUGGUGGACUUGGAGC